This 742-nucleotide ribosomal RNA is filed under the name uncultured Acidithiobacillales bacterium. RNAcentral's name for it is "bacterial SSU rRNA". It matches the Rfam family "Bacterial small subunit ribosomal RNA", at positions 8 to 744 of the family's 1533-position model. The record is from RNAcentral. Lineage: Bacteria; Pseudomonadati; Pseudomonadota; Acidithiobacillia; Acidithiobacillales.
AGAGUUUGAUCAUGGCUCAGAUUGAACGCUGGCGGCAUGCCUAACACAUGCAAGUCGAACGGCAGCACGGGCUUCGGCCUGGUGGCGAGUGGCGGACGGGUGAGUAAAGCGUAGGAACCUAUCCUUUUGUGGGGGACAACCCAGGGAAACUUGGGCUAAUACCGCAUAAGUCCUGAGGGAGAAAGCGGGGGAUCUUCGGACCUCGUGCUGAAGGAGGGGCCUACGUCCGAUUAGCUAGUUGGUAGGGUAAAGGCCUACCAAGGCGACGAUCGGUAGCUGGUCUGAGAGGACGAUCAGCCACACUGGGACUGAGACACGGCCCAGACUCCUACGGGAGGCAGCAGUGGGGAAUUUUUCGCAAUGGGGGCAACCCUGACGAAGCAAUGCCGCGUGAAUGAAGAAGGCCUUCGGGUUGUAAAGUUCUUUCGUGGGAGACGAAAAGGCAAGCGCUAAUAUCGUUUGCUGUUGACGUGAACCCAAGAAGAAGCACCGGCUAACUCCGUGCCAGCAGCCGCGGUAAUACGGAGGGUGCGAGCGUUAAUCGGAAUCACUGGGCGUAAAGGGCGCGUAGGCGGUUAGUUACGUCUGCCGUGAAAUCCCCGGGCUCAACCUGGGAAUGGCGGUGGAAACGGGCGGACUAGAGUAUGGGAGAGGGGUGAUGGAAUUCCAGGUGUAGCGGUGAAAUGCGUAGAGAUCUGGAGGAACAUCAGUGGCGAAGGCGGUCACCUGGCCCAAUACUGAC